Molecule: ribosomal RNA, 253 nt
Filed under: uncultured bacterium
Lineage: Bacteria
Description: partial 16S ribosomal RNA
Rfam family: Bacterial small subunit ribosomal RNA
Source: RNAcentral
UACGAAGGGGGCUAGCGUUGCUCGGAAUUACUGGGCGUAAAGCGCACGUAGGCGGCUUUCUAAGUCGGGGGUGAAAUCCUGGAGCUCAACUCCAGAACUGCCUUCGAUACUGGAAAGCUCGAGUCCGGGAGAGGUGAGUGGAACUGCGAGUGUAGAGGUGAAAUUCGUAGAUGUUCGCAAGAACACCAGUGGCGAAGGCGGCUCACUGGCCCGGUACUGACGCUGAGGUGCGAAAGCGUGGGGAGCGAACAGG